Molecule: long non-coding RNA, 2154 nt
Organism: Felis catus (domestic cat)
Lineage: Eukaryota; Metazoa; Chordata; Mammalia; Carnivora; Felidae
Exons: 4
Source: RefSeq, a predicted model, not a curated record
CUCUCUCUCAAAAAUGAAUAAACUUAAAAAAAAAAAAAAGAAUUUCAAGAUGGUGACAGGGCACAUUAAGCCAAGUGCGGGCCCUUCUGGGUACAGACCCAUGAACUGCACAAGCCACAUACCCACAAAGUUGGUCCGGCCCCCAGUGUUCAUGUGCAGACCUGCCUCUUGUUAAGGUCUAUGGCCGAGUGAAGGCUGUUGGAGUCUGCGCUCCUGGGACUUGGUCAGAUCCAAAGAUGGCUCUGACCUUUCUUGCCUCUGGGAGGGGUGCUAUGCCCCAUCCCCCACCAGGGCCCAGGAGGUUAGCCCUACAGCCCUUUGAUAUGGAGCCCGCAAGUCUCUGCCCAAAGGUCCCAACUCCAAAUCAAGCCAGAAGCCCACACACCUCCUCGCUCUCCCAGGAAUGUGGGUACUUCCGGUCCUGCCCACCUCACAUGGAAACAAGGGCACUUGGAGGAAGUGGACUGACUCAGGGCUUCCCUCUUCCUACCAGGUGGGGAAGGCAGGCUGAGAGGCCACCUGCCCCCGCCCCCACCCAGACUCCUAAAAAGGAGGUGUAACAGAGGCCCCUAUGUAAUGCCUCACCCAUGGGCACCCCCUGCCUGGGGAGAGGUGUUUAUGAUACAGGCUCAGUGUCCCUGUCUCCAUGUCCCUCUUACUGCACGAGCCGCUGGGCUCAAAGAGACAGAUCCCCUCCAAUUCAGUGCUUCUUGAGCUACUAAAGGGGGAACUAAAGUAAUUUCAAGAACCUUUACUUCUCUUGACCAAACCUGGCUUCCUAAUCUGGCUGCAUACUUAAAAAUCCUAUUUUGUGCAUCAAAACUGAUAUUAGCUUUCCUCCUUUUUGUGAGUCCUCUACCCCUGUCUCCCAGGAAACUGAAAUGGCUUUGUGUUCUCAUGGCUGGAUCUGGAGCCCUGGCAGAACAGUUUCACAAGGACAAGUGCCAAAGGACAGAGGGCAUGGCCCCGUGGCUCACUCAUAGCAGGAAGAUCCACCCUGCCUGGGUGAGGUCCCUGUGCUAGGGUGCCAAGGGUGGGAGAUGCAGAGAUCCCCCCUUUCAGAUGAAAUCUCAAGGAGGAACAAAUGUGAAUUUAGCAAAGGAACCAAACAAAGCAUUUUCUGGCUGAAUCCAACCACUAAAAGAACAGAAGGAAGACUGGACACUGGGAAUGAGGGAGUGAGAAGCGCUGCUCCCGGGAGCCGGCUUAGCCCAGAGCUGAAGAAAUCAUCCACGACUCAGGAAUCACCGGCCUCCCCGCCCCCCAGCAUCUCCUGCCUCCUAAAGGGAUGGCCCGAAUCCCCCAAAAGUUAUGAAAAUGAUGCUCAUGUAGAAGAGGCCGCGUCGAGGGACACAGGGAAGACAGCUACCUACAAGCCAAGGAAAGAGGUCUGGGACAGAUUUGCUCUCACACCCUCAGAAUGAACCAACCUGCCCACACGUAGAUCUUGGACUCCUGGCCCCCAGAAGCCCUGAGAUGAUAAACCCAUGUCGUUUAACUGCUUUGGUACAGCAAUUCCAGCGACCAAGUCACAGAGGUCUGAAUGAAAGGGCACGGUGUGGAGGACUGCAGAAAGUUUGCAGCCAAGCAGGGAGCAGGAGUGGUGCACAUGAGGCUCAGGACAAGGGGGAUCAGGGAGCCACGUUCAGGAGGUUAGGGUUUGUCUCGCGUCCAUGGUGAGGCACGCAGGCCUUCUAGCCAACGCAGAAGGUGGUCAGUGUGGGCUUGAGGAAACCCACUCUGGCUGCAGAGACGAGGAAGCUGCCACGGACACCUAAGCAAGGGAUGGAGUUCAAAGGCAAGGGAAUGGCAGGAAGAGGGCCGCUCCGGGAGUGUGCGGCAUCCUAGUCAACAGGACUCCCAGGGGCCAGCACGGGGUGAGACAUGUAUCAGGCCGUGCAGGGCCGCCGUAAGGGAGCACCACACGCCGGGCGGCAGAAACUGCAGGCAUGUAUUCUUUCACAGUCUGGAAGCUAGAAGUCCAAGAUCAGGGUGUCUGCUGGGUUGGUGGGUCCUGGGGCCCCCCUCCUUGGCUUGUCUCCAUGGACAUCUCCUCACAUGGUUGUCCCUAUGUGUGUGUCUGUGUCUUAAUCUCCUCUUCUUAAAAUCUUUUUUUUAAUGUUAAUCUUUUUUUUGAGAGAGAGAGAAAGCAGG